Molecule: ribosomal RNA, 502 nt
Filed under: uncultured bacterium
Lineage: Bacteria
Description: partial 16S ribosomal RNA
Rfam family: Bacterial small subunit ribosomal RNA
Source: RNAcentral
AUUGAACGCUGGCGGCAUGCCUUACACAUGCAAGUCGAACGGCAGCACGGGAGCUUGCUCCUGGUGGCGAGUGGCGAACGGGUGAGUAAUACAUCGGGACGUACCCAGUAGUGGGGGAUAACGCACCGAAAGGUGCGCUAAUACCGCAUACGACCUACGGGUGAAAGCGGGGGACCGUAAGGCCUCGCGCUAUUGGAGCGGCCGAUGUCCGAUUAGCUAGUUGGUGAGGUAAAGGCUCACCAAGGCUUCGAUCAGUAGCUGGUCUGAGAGGACGAUCAGCCACACUGGGACUGAGACACGGCCCAGACUCCUACGGGAGGCAGCAGUGGGGAAUUUUGGACAAUGGGCGAAAGCCUGAUCCAGCAAUGCCGCGUGUGCGAAGAAGGCCUUCGGGUUAUAAAGCACUUUUGUCAGGGAAGAAAUCUUUUAGGCUAAUACCCUGGAAGGAUGACGGUACCUGAAGAAUAAGCACCGGCUAACUACGUGCCAGCAGCCGCGGUAA